UACAGAGGUCUCAAGCGUUGUUCGGAUUCAUUGGGCGUAAAGGGUGCGUAGGCGGCGCGGUAAGUCGGGUGUGAAAUCUCGGGGCUUAACUCCGAAACUGCAUUCGAUACUGCCGUGCUUGAGGACUGGAGAGGAGACUGGAAUUUACGGUGUAGCGGUGAAAUGCGUAGAUAUCGUAAGGAAGACCAGUGGCGAAGGCGGGUCUCUGGGCAGUUCCUGACGCUGAGGCACGAAGGCCAGGGGAGCAAACGGG
RNAcentral lists this ribosomal RNA (253 nucleotides) under uncultured bacterium. RNAcentral's name for it is "partial 16S ribosomal RNA". It matches the Rfam family "Bacterial small subunit ribosomal RNA", at positions 524 to 776 of the family's 1533-position model. The record is from RNAcentral.